CCCUUAGAUGUUCUGGGCGGCCCGCGCACUACAAUGGCGCUUUCAGCGAGUUCCUAUGUUGAAUUUUCCUGGGUAUUCUUGGAAGCGGCGUCUUGACUUGGGAUAGAUCCUUGUAAUUGUUGGUUUUGAACGAGGAAUUCCUUGUAAUCGUGGUUGAUCAGCUCGCGUUGAAUACGUCCCUGCCCUUUGUACACACCGCCCGUCGCUCCUACCGAUGAAUCGUCCGGUGAAGUUCACAGAGUGGCGGUUCGUGGAGUUGCUCGCGAAGUGAAAUGGACCUCACGAUUUAGAGGAAGGAGAAGUCGUAACA
This 310-nucleotide ribosomal RNA is filed under the name uncultured eukaryote. RNAcentral's name for it is "partial 18S ribosomal RNA". It matches the Rfam family "Eukaryotic small subunit ribosomal RNA", at positions 1470 to 1796 of the family's 1831-position model. The record is from RNAcentral.